RNAcentral lists this ribosomal RNA (484 nucleotides) under uncultured bacterium. RNAcentral's name for it is "partial 16S ribosomal RNA". It matches the Rfam family "Bacterial small subunit ribosomal RNA", at positions 28 to 523 of the family's 1533-position model. The record is from RNAcentral.
GACGAACGCUGGCGGCGUGCUUAACACAUGCAAGUCGAACGAUGAAGCCGGAGCUUGCUCUGGUGAAUUAGUGGCGAACGGGUGAGUAACACGUGAGUAACCUGCCCUUGACUCUGGGAUAACUGCUAGAAAUGGUAGCUAAUACCGGAUACGACCCUCGGAGGCAUCUCCAGGGGGUGGAAAGGAUUUCGGUCAAGGAUGGACUCGCGGCCUAUCAGCUAGUUGGUGAGGUAACGGCUCACCAAGGCGACGACGGGUAGCCGGCCUGAGAGGGUGACCGGCCACACUGGGACUGAGACACGGCCCAGACUCCUACGGGAGGCAGCAGUGGGGAAUAUUGCACAAUGGGCGCAAGCCUGAUGCAGCAACGCCGCGUGAGGGAUGACGGCCUUCGGGUUGUAAACCUCUUUUAGUAGGGAAGAAGCGAAAGUGACGGUACCUGCAGAAAAAGCACCGGCUAACUACGUGCCAGCCGCCGCGGUAA